AGUGAACGCUGGCGGUAGGCCUAACACAUGCAAGUCGAACGGCAGCACAGUAAGAGCUUGCUCUUACGGGUGGCGAGUGGCGGACGGGUGAGGAAUACAUCGGAAUCUACUUUUUCGUGGGGGAUAACGUAGGGAAACUUACGCUAAUACCGCAUACGACCUACGGGUGAAAGCAGGGGAUCUUCGGACCUUGCGCGAUUGAAUGAGCCGAUGUCGGAUUAGCUAGUUGGCGGGGUAAAGGCCCACCAAGGCGACGAUCCGUAGCUGGUCUGAGAGGAUGAUCAGCCACACUGGAACUGAGACACGGUCCAGACUCCUACGGGAGGCAGCAGUGGGGAAUAUUGGACAAUGGGCGCAAGCCUGAUCCAGCCAUACCGCGUGGGUGAAGAAGGCCUUCGGGUUGUAAAGCCCUUUUGUUGGGAAAGAAGAGCAGCAGGUUAAUACCCCGCUGUUCUGACGGUACCCAAAGAAUAAGCACCGGCUAACUCCGUG
Molecule: ribosomal RNA, 492 nt
Filed under: uncultured bacterium
Lineage: Bacteria
Description: partial 16S ribosomal RNA
Rfam family: Bacterial small subunit ribosomal RNA
Source: RNAcentral